AACGAACGCUGGCGGCAGGCCUAACACAUGCAAGUCGAGCGCGCCCUUCGGGGUGAGCGGCGGACGGGUGAGUAACGCGUGGGAACGUACCCUUUGCUACGGAAUAGCCUCGGGAAACUGAGAGUAAUACCGUAUACGCCCUUUGGGGGAAAGAUUUAUCGGCAAAGGAUCGGCCCGCGUUGGAUUAGGUAGUUGGUGGGGUAAUGGCCCACCAAGCCGACGAUCCAUAGCUGGUUUGAGAGGAUGAUCAGCCACACUGGGACUGAGACACGGCCCAGGCGACUACGGGGCGCGGCAGUGGGGAGUACGAGACUAGGGGGGCACCGCGAAUAUCGCGAGGCCGCGUGAGUGAUGAAGGCGUGAGGGUGUGAAACCUCUUGGAGCGGAAAAGAUAAUGACGGUCCCAGCAGAAGAGGCCCCGGCAAACUCCGGGCCAGAAGCGGCGUUAAUGGAGGAACAGCACACGCCUUAUC
RNAcentral lists this ribosomal RNA (473 nucleotides) under uncultured bacterium. Its description in RNAcentral is "partial 16S ribosomal RNA". It matches the Rfam family "Bacterial small subunit ribosomal RNA", at positions 35 to 539 of the family's 1533-position model. The record is from RNAcentral.